This 1657-nucleotide ribosomal RNA is filed under the name seawater metagenome. Its description in RNAcentral is "bacterial LSU rRNA". It matches the Rfam family "Bacterial large subunit ribosomal RNA", at positions 393 to 2199 of the family's 2925-position model. The record is from RNAcentral.
AAACGUAUAUAUCAAAAAAGUAAAACAUUUUAAUUUGUUUGAAGAUAGGAGAACCACCUUCUAAGCCUGAAUAUGAUAUAUAGAUCGAUAGUGUACAAGUACUGUGAAGGAAAGGUGAAAAGAACCCUUUAUAACAGGGAGUGAAAAGAUCUGAAACAAAAUACUGACAAGCAAUUGGAGCUUAGCUUUUAUUUUUAAAUAAAACAUAGUGACAGUGUACCUUUUGCAUAAUGGGUCAGCGACUAAAUGAAACAAGUAUGCGUAAGCAGUGAUGUGGACGCAGAGCAAAAGCAAGUCGACAAUGGCAUGAUAUUUGGUUCAUUUGACCCGAAACUAAGUGAUCUUAUCUUGAACAGGUUGAAGAAAGCGUAAUGUCUUUUGGAGGACCGAACCGACGUCUGUAGCAAUAGACGCGGAUGAUUUGAGAUAAGGGGUGAAAGGCCAAUCAAACUUAGAAAUAGCUGGUUCUUCGCGAAAUAUAUUGAGGUAUAGCGUACAUAGAAUUUCUGUUACUGGGGGUAGAGCACUCAUUGAGCUAUGGGGGUCCAAAACCUUACUGCUCUCAAGGAAACUCCGAAUACCAUAUAACAUGAUGUGUGUGCAGUCAGACAUAUAGUGCUAAGGUUAUAUGUCGAAAGGGAAACAGCCCAGCCUGGUCGCUAAGGUCCCAAAGCAUUCUGUGAGUGGGAAAAGAUGUGAUACAACAAUGACAACUAGGAGGUUGGCUUGGAAGCAGCCAUUCUAUCAUGAAAGCGUAAUAGCUCACUAGUCGAGUUGUUUUGCACUGAAAAUGUAUCGGGGCUGAACAGAAACACCGACGCGCUGGUUUUAUAUUUUAAAAGGUAGCGAAGCGUUUUGUACGCCAAAGAAGUAUUUUCAGAAGAAAAUACUGAGGUAUCAAAAGUGACUAUGCUGACAUGAGUAACGAAAAUCAUGUACAAUCAUGAUCACCGUAUGUUCAAGGGUUUCUGCGUCCUGGUUUACAGCGCAGAGUUAUGUCCGGUCCCUAAGAGACACACGCACUCGUGUGCUUAAUGGAUGUCAUUUAUGUAAGACGGUACGUACUUCUAAAAACUACAAUUGGAUAUGGUGUAUAGUAAGUAGGUAUCCAGGAAAAUUCAUAAAUAUAUUGACCGUACCCUAAACCGACACAGGUGAACGAGUCGAAUAGACUCAGGUGAUGAGAGAACCACAUUGAAGGAACUCGGCAAAAUAUUCCCGUACCUUAGGAAGAAGGGAAGCCAAAAAUGGUGACACAAAAAUGGGGGUGACGACUUUUUACUAAAAAAUUAGGACUCUGCUAAAUGGUAACAUGACGUAUAGGGUCUGACGUCUGCCCGGUGCUAGAAGUAUAAAAGGAGUGUUGAAAGAUACGAAUGGAAAGCCUAGUAAACGGCGGUUGUAACUAUAACAAUCAUAAAGUAGCGAAAUUCAUUGCCAGCUAAUUCCUGGCCUGCAUGAAAGACGUAACGAUUGCCCCACUGUCUCCAGUAUGGACUCAGUGAAAUUGAAUUCUCCGUGCAGAUGCGGAGUACGUGCCCCAAGACGAGAAGACCCUGUGCAUCUUUACUGUACAUUUACAUUGACAAAACCAUACGUAUGUGUAGGAUCUGUCUCUUAUACACAUCUCCGAGCCCACGAGACGUAGAGGAAUCUC